GACGAACGCUGGCGGCGUGCCUAAUACAUGCAAGUGGGACGCAAGGGAACACACUGUGCUUGCACACCGUGUUUUCUUGAGUCGCGAACGGGUGAGUAACGCGUAGGUAACCUGCCUAUUAGCGGGGGAUAACUAUUGGAAACGAUAGCUAAUACCGCAUAAUAUUAAUUAUUGCAUGAUAAUUGAUUGAAAGAUGCAAGCGCAUCACUAGUAGAUGGACCUGCGUUGUAUUAGCUAGUUGGUAAGGUAAGAGCUUACCAAGGCGACGAUACAUAGCCGACCUGAGAGGGUGAUCGGCCACACUGGGACUGAGACACGGCCCAGACUCCUACGGGAGGCAGCAGUAGGGAAUCUUCGGCAAUGGACGAAAGUCUGACCGAGCAACGCCGCGUGAGUGAAGAAGGUUUUCGGAUCGUAAAGCUCUGUUGUAAGUCAAGAACGUGUGUGAGAGUGGAAAGUUCACACAGUGACGGUAGCUACCAGAA
RNAcentral lists this ribosomal RNA (485 nucleotides) under Streptococcus mutans. RNAcentral's name for it is "bacterial SSU rRNA". It matches the Rfam family "Bacterial small subunit ribosomal RNA", at positions 28 to 488 of the family's 1533-position model. Lineage: Bacteria; Bacillati; Bacillota; Bacilli; Lactobacillales; Streptococcaceae. The record is from RNAcentral.